Molecule: non-coding RNA, 77 nt
Filed under: Burkholderia sp. YR290
Lineage: Bacteria; Pseudomonadati; Pseudomonadota; Betaproteobacteria; Burkholderiales; Burkholderiaceae
Source: RNAcentral
UCGAGCUGUAUGCAGGGAAACUUGCACGUACAGUUCUUCGGGGGCUGCGUUUCUGAGAGGAAACGCGGCUACCCACU